UUCAACUCUUAAGUUGCUGACAAAUUAACAUUAUUUAAUUUGCUAUCAGUUUCUCUAAGCAGCCAACGGCACUUUGAAAUGAAGAACAGAUGGCAGCACAGCAAGAGAAGGCUGUAAACGAGUUGUAAUGCAGCAAAUUGUAUCAAGAUGUUCCAGUGUACUGAACAUAGGAGGACGAUGCAAACUGGGGCAAGUUCUGGAGGUCUGAAAGACAUCACACUAUGAACCGAUUGACCUGUGCGUAGAAAGACCAGGCAGCUGACGUCGGGCUGUGAGCAGAGGGCUGGACGCGAAGCAGAGAAGAAGUCACAGUUCACGCGACGAGAAAUCCUGAAAAUGUACUGAUCAGGAAGCAACUGAAAUCAACUUGUUUAGGAAAUCUGGAGUCUGGGGCUGAGGGACAAUAAGGAGCCUGCAGCCACUAAAGGCAUUUCUUGGACCUCAGUAGCACAGGACUUGACCCUGAGCAGCAGGAAAGAUGGAGUGCAGCGGGGAUCCAAACGGCUACAGCUUGACAUUGGUCAAACCGAGUUCUCCUCCAUCAACACAAAGCCAGACGGACUCUUUCCUGACCGCAGCCCGGUUGGCCCGCGAAGGACUGCUGGAGGACGGAAGAACAGGACAGCAGUUUUCCACUCUUAGACAGUCUCCUUCUAGUUCACAAGAAAACCAUGGCGCUGUCUUGAAAGACCUGAGGAUCAGGCGGUACACCGUCAUCUCCAGGAGGAAGACGGAAACCGACAGAAAGACGGACAAUGGAGAGGGAAAGCAGACCCCUCAGGGUGCCUCCUCACCAAAAUCAGAAGCAGAGAGACAGAAGGUGUGUUUGAGUGCAUCUGACUGUCGCUUCACAUGUAGACAACCUGGAAGGUUUAAAGUUGCCGUAUUACCUGUAAUAGCGGAAAUUUAGGCAACACUACAGUCAGACUUCCAGACUUGUUGAUAAAUUUGUAAACAUUAACCUGGAGGUUAAUGUUUGGUUAUUCCUAACGUCAGCACUAUCUAUUUUAAGAGAAAGUCUAUGUUUAAGGGUAUUAGAUUAAGCACUGACUAAAGUAUUGAGACUACAGGAGAUAGCCAUCAGCCUUUUAUUAAAUACAUCACCUGAAGUCAGUAGUUUGUAUUUGACUGUUUUCCAACUAAGACACACUGGCUACACCUUGCAACCUUUAGACAGUGGCACUGACAUCCAUAGUUUCAGGGGGGGAAACAUUUAUAUUUAAACACAUUUCAAUCUACUGGAGAUUAAAACACUGACAUCUAGUGGCCGUAAGUGGACUUUCAGCUGCACAGGAUUUUUCCUGUUACAACCUGUAACUAAUAUAUUUUAUUUGGAUAGUAGCACAUUAUUGUACGGGGAAGGGAACUGCAUUGUUUGUUUUUUUUAAUUAUUUUUAAAUUUUUGUCAUUAAAAACAACCUGAAAAGUG
Long non-coding RNA from Gambusia affinis (western mosquitofish), 1429 nucleotides. RefSeq lists it as uncharacterized. Lineage: Eukaryota; Metazoa; Chordata; Actinopteri; Cyprinodontiformes; Poeciliidae. The record is from RefSeq and is a predicted model, not a curated record. The transcript has 4 exons.